RNAcentral lists this ribosomal RNA (425 nucleotides) under uncultured bacterium. RNAcentral describes it as "bacterial SSU rRNA". It matches the Rfam family "Bacterial small subunit ribosomal RNA", at positions 354 to 796 of the family's 1533-position model. The record is from RNAcentral.
GUGGGGAAUAUUGGGCAAUGGAGGCAACUCUGACCCAGCCAUGCCGCGUGGGUGACGAAGGUCUUCGGAUUGUAAAGCCCUUUCGGCGGGGACGAUGAUGACGGUACCCGCAGAAGAAGCCCCGGCUAACUUCGUGCCAGCAGCCGCGGUAAUACGAAGGGGGCUAGCGUUGUUCGGAAUUACUGGGCGUAAAGGGCGUGUAGGCGGCCCGCUAAGUCAGGUGUGAAAGGCCUGGGCUCAACCCAGGAAAUGCGCCUGAGACUGACGGGCUUGAAUCCGGGAGAGGAUGGUGGAACUCCCAGUGUAGAGGUGAAAUUCGUAGAUAUUGGGAAGAACACCCGUGGCGAAGGCGGCCAUCUGGACCGGUAUUGACGCUAAGGCGCGACAGCGUGGGGAGCAAACAGGAUUAGAAACCCGGGUAGUCC